This is a long non-coding RNA of Lucilia sericata (common green bottle fly), 554 nucleotides long. RefSeq lists it as uncharacterized. Lineage: Eukaryota; Metazoa; Arthropoda; Insecta; Diptera; Calliphoridae. The transcript has 2 exons. The record is from RefSeq and is a predicted model, not a curated record.
UUGCUAACUGGACGGACGUCAAAGCAAAAAGUGAAAUUAUUAUUUGCUAGUGGAAAGCAAUAAAUACCGUGAUAAUAGAAAUUCAUUAUUUAAAUUAAAUCUAAGUACAUAAACAAUAAGAAAAAGAUAAUUGCAAAAGAAAGCUGAUAUUAUAAAGUGAAAGUGUUUAAUGGAUUAAAAAAGCAAAGUUUUUGCAAUAAUUAAAUUGACAUCUAUAAACCUAGGCCGCCAUUUUAAAAGUCAGAGGAACUGACGUUUCGGCUAUUGAUGCAUCCAUAUCAAGGCAUUUCAACAAUAACUUGGCGAUUAUUUUUGCUGUCUUCAUGUGAUUUAUAUAUUGGAUUCAAAAUGCUUUUAAAAUAACUAAAAAUUUACUUGGAGAACUGCAAUUUUUUUAAAUUCCUCUUGGCUUAAAGUAAUUUGAAGAGCCCCAUAAGCAGUAGAUACUACAUGAAAAGCUAUUAGUAGUAGCAGCUAAUGUUCGUUUAAAAAUGUUUUAGUCUUAGAAUUAAUUUAUAAGAUAAUUAAAUAAAUAAUAAAUAAUAAAUAAAUAA